This 237-nucleotide ribosomal RNA is filed under the name uncultured Syntrophaceae bacterium. Its description in RNAcentral is "partial 16S ribosomal RNA". It matches the Rfam family "Bacterial small subunit ribosomal RNA", at positions 1145 to 1382 of the family's 1533-position model. The record is from RNAcentral. Lineage: Bacteria; Pseudomonadati; Thermodesulfobacteriota; Syntrophia; Syntrophales; Syntrophaceae.
GAGACUGCCGGUGUUAAGCCGGAGGAAGUGGGGAUGACGUCAAGUCCUCAUGGCCUUUAUGCCCAGGGCUACACACGUGCUACAAUGGGCGGUACAAAGAGAAGCAACCUCGCGAGGGUGAGCAAAUCUCAAAAAGCCGUUCUCAGUUCGGAUUGAAGUCUGCAACUCGACUUCAUGAAGUCGGAAUCGCUAGUAGUCGCGGAUCAGCAUGCCGCGGUGAAUACGUUCCCGGGCCUU